Molecule: unclassified non-coding RNA, 3505 nt
Filed under: Eurytemora carolleeae
Lineage: Eukaryota; Metazoa; Arthropoda; Copepoda; Calanoida; Temoridae
Description: uncharacterized LOC111702485
Source: RNAcentral
UUACAAAAUUUAAUUAUUUUCAAAAUUUUACCAUCAUUAACCGAUGCAAACUGCAGUGACAGUUCUUCAUUCUUACUUUUCGAUGAAGAUAAUUUUGCAUGAUUUACAUGGAGCCGUUCAAUUUUUAUCAGAUAAUGCGACUUUAAAGAUGGGAGAGGAUAAGUUUGAGGAAGAAAAGUUUAUGAAAGCUUUGGUUAAUCUAAAGGAUACACAGGAGUCUAUUCAGGGCUUCUCGGGAUGGUGUAUGAAGAACAGGAAAUCUGCUUACAAGAUGGCAAGAUGCUGGACAAAGGUGAUCAAGAAGGUCCGCGUAGAGCAGAAGCUUGUUCUCUUCUACCUUGUCAACGAUAUUGUUCAGCACGCCUCCAAGAAGAUGUACACGGAGCUGCUGGACAAGUUCAGAGGAGCGAUCAAGGAGGCUAUGCCACACCUCAAGGAGGAGAAGAUUGCAUACAAGGUACAGCGAUGUCUUGCCAUAUGGGACGAAAGAGUGGUUUUCGACUCGGAGUAUAUAAAGGAGCUGACCGCUUUGAUAGAUAUGACACCAGUAAAGGAAGAUCAGGAGAUCAUCGAGAACUUUCAAUCCACUGAACUUUGUAAACAGGUAAAGAUAAUGAAAGCUCUGGAGGAUGAUGCAGAUUAUAAACUGAAAACAUUAAAGGAGAAUGAUAACGAACUCAAGGAUAUUGAUGCAAUCAAAACCAAACUCAAGGACAAAUCCUGUGGAGACGAAUAUGUUUCUCAGUUUGAGGACGGAACCAAGAGGAUGGAGGCUUACAUCAAGGCAAUGGAACGGGAGGUCACAAAGAGAAAACAGGUGAUAGAGUUGUUAACCCAGGGAAAGAAGUAUUAUGAUAGUCUGUAUGGGGAAGCUGAGAUUGUCGCCACAGCAUACGCUAAUUUCGGAAACAGAGUGAAGAAGGUGCACAUGAAACUGGAGGAGAAGCUUCCAACCUUAUCUAUCCCUGCAGCACCUCCUCCCCCUGGUAUAGGAGUAGAGUCCCCGGUACCUAGUCCAGACUAUGAUGCUCCUUCACCACAAGCAGAGGACGAGAUGGAACUUAAACUACCUGAUGAUGACGAGCCGGGUACUCCAGAUUACCCUCCGCCACCCAACUAUCAACCUCCUAGCUCAGGAAACCUCAACGCCCGCCUCUCCGCCAUGGAUCCCUCAGCGUUCGCCGCGGACAUGUCAACAACUCCGUCACCGGAGCCAAGAAAGGAUUACCGCAGAUCUGCAUCUUACGAUCAUAGAGAUCGGGGGAGGGAUAGGGAUCGAUCUAGAGAGCGGUCUAGAGAGAGGAACAGAGAUCGUUCAAGAGAGAGACAUCGGGAGAGAGAUCGCUCAAGGGAUAACGAUCGUUCCUCCCGAUCGCGUGAUCGUGAGGAUCGGGAGAGGGACAUAAAGAGAGAAGCUAUGACGAUCCCUCGAAACAAUAUAAGUGAUUUUCUAACUAAAAUCGCGCACGGCGAGCGAUUAGAUCUUCAGGGAUAUCGGCACGAAGAAAACGGAGACUCGAAACGCCGAAGGAUCUCCGACAGUGAUAUAGACGGGUUCCCACUUCUGGACUCCGUUCCAGACCUAUUCUCCAGGCUAAGCUCUGUUCCAGACCUUAUCUCUAACAAGAGCUCCGUUCCAGAAUACCCCCCGCCUCCUAAGCUCUCACAAGACUGGGACCAAGGCUAUAAGGAAAACUUGUAUCCCCAGGACCCACGUUCUAAAUCCCCUGUAUCCUGUCUCCCACCGGAGGAUCAGAGUGUUUACACUCUGAUCUCUAGCCCGGCCCAGGAGGUCUGGAGGGAACCGGUUCCUGACUGGCUGCAGGUUGAUGAAGAUGAAGAGGUUCAGAUUGUGGAAAAUCAAGCGCUGGAACGAUUAAGGAAAGCCGCAAGCAAGAAUACACCCGGUGGUUCCAAUCUAAUCAGUCUUACAGGGUCCCCUGUAGUCAGAGAUUCAGGACUGGUUGGUAAAAGUCGGAACCCUGAGGAUAUGGAUCUCAGUGAUGAUGAGGAAGGAGAGAUUAGAGAUGCACAGCUUGAGAAUUCAUGGAACCAGAGCUUUGCCGGAGACAGGGAGUCCACCACUCCACCCCUUCCCUUCCCCGGGGGCACCAGGCCCUUUCAGGCAGGUUUACCUGUCCCUGGACCUAACAGUUUUAAACCAGCGGAUACUGUUACAGUUCCUCCUCCGCCUUUUUCUGUUCCGCCUCCACUUACAAAUCAUAAAGGCGGAUGGAUUAAUAGUCUCAAAGGGGGAGAUUCAUCUGCUUUGCAUUCUUUUCCUCCGCCCAGCUUUAACUCGGAGCCUGUGAGGAAAACAUUGAUAAACCAACCUCCAAACCUUGCCGACUCGCACAAUUCAAACAGUUCAAAUAAUUCACUCGUUACCCCUCAAGUCCCUCCUUUCUCCGCUAACAAUUCAUUCAGAGACGAGGAAUUGAAUCCUCGGAUGGUAGAUGACUCGUUGAAUCCGUUCUCAGAUCAGGAUUACAUGGAUCCUGGGUUCGAAAAUGAGUUUCCAAAUACCGGAUCCUCGUUCAACCAAGGACAAGUGCACGGUUCUAAUCCUGGAUUCCAGGGAGAAAUAAACCAGGAUAUGCUCAACAGUGAUUUCAAUACGUUUCGAGGGAAUAGAGGAGGGUUCUCCGCCCCUGGAGAGUCACCUCGAGGUGGGUUCCGUGGCCGUGGUGGUGGAAUUGGAUUUGAGAGAACCAACAGUUCACCAGAAAAGAUGUUUUGGGGAGAUAGAGGUCGUGGUUCUCCUCGUGGGGGCGGCUAUGGACGCGCUGGAAUGAACAGUGAUCGAGGUGGAGUUAACUUGGGUCCAGGCGGAGGAAUGAAUAAUGGCGGAAGUGGGAUUAACAAUGAUGCAGUGACUAUGAACCGAGGCGGAGGUUUUACUAGUGACAGAGGACGUGGGCGAGCUGAUUUCAAUCGCGGUGGAGGAUUUGACCGCGGGAGUGGAGGAUUUAAUCGAGGGGGCGGAGGAUUUGAACGAGGCAGCGGAGGAUUUAAUCGAGGUGGUGGAGGAUUUGAACGAGGCAGUGGAGGAUUUGAUCGAGGCGGUGGCGGAUUUAACCGCGGCAGUGGAGGUUUUGACCGAGGCCGAGGGAGCUUCAACCGCGGUGGAUUUGGAGGUCACACACCCGAAGGAGGGGUAGGGCGAGGAGCAAUGGAGAGGGGUAGAAGACCCUGGAGGGGGGGAAGGGGUUCAUGGUAACACCAAUCCCUCCCAAUCCCUUCCUCACAUACUCCCUUAGUUUCAAGGGAUUGAUUUAUCAAAGGCUGUGCAUAGUUUAUGUUUACUGUUUGGGUUUCUGCUUGAUAGACAUGGCAGUGAACGUUCUCAAGGUCUUUCAUGAAAGUUGCAGGAACGACCUUACUCCGAGGUCUCCUCUCUAUGACCUUCCACUCUCCUUACUCAAGGCUUAGGUUGUAGUUACACAUUUUGGGGACUUCUUUCAAGGUUUAGAAUCUCAGGGUCUAUUUCAAUAUUGCACUCAAG